Molecule: long non-coding RNA, 668 nt
Filed under: Sitophilus oryzae (rice weevil)
Lineage: Eukaryota; Metazoa; Arthropoda; Insecta; Coleoptera; Curculionidae
Description: uncharacterized LOC115880533
Source: RNAcentral
UCUAUUUUUUAUACGUAGAUGUUUCAGGUUUUAAGAAUAAAUUGGUUGAACCCAAAAUCUGGAGGAAGUACCUAUAUCCAUACACAGAAUAUGCCCAUUAAAAAUACUAGUCCAAAUUUGCUUUAAUGGAACGAUUAGGGCCCGAUAUAUUUGAAACUCAUGUUGGACAUAGUAUUGAGUUGGGUAGAAUAUUAUUCUACGUUAAGUGAGGGUAUCAGAUACCUAUUAUUGUACUGUAUUUUAAUAUAUACAUUAGAAUUGUUGGUUUUUUCAUAUUUGUUUUAUUUAUUAUUUUACUUACAAGUUAUAUAAAGUUAACACUAAAAUCUACUUUUUGACUUAUAUAAGUUAGUCUGUGGUUUAAUGCGUGAUUACAUCCACAUGAUUUCAAGUUUUUAAAAUAUAAAUAUUAUAACUGGCUUUAAAAACUCCAUUAAACUGUUAAAAGUGUAAUUUAUUUCAAAAUAAAUAUACAUAUAUAGGUAUAUAUUAAUAUCGAAAAACAUUUUUAUUUCCUUAACACCAAUUUAAUCAUCACAUACAUAUGUAUAAACAUUUAUUUACGUUAUUUCAAAUGAAGACCACAGGAAAAACCAGCUUUGUUCAUUUUAACUGGAGCCGAGAAAAUGCAAUUACGAGUGAACUACUCUGGUUUUUCUCCUGUAGGG